RNAcentral lists this transfer RNA (73 nucleotides) under Cryptocephalus tibialis. Its description in RNAcentral is "tRNA-Lys". Lineage: Eukaryota; Metazoa; Arthropoda; Insecta; Coleoptera; Chrysomelidae. The record is from RNAcentral.
CAUUAGAUGGCUGAAUAGUUUAAGCAAUGAAAUUUUAAAUCAUUUAAUAGUAAUUAACGCCUACUUCUAAUGA